This is a long non-coding RNA of Homarus americanus (American lobster), 3621 nucleotides long. RefSeq lists it as uncharacterized. The record is from RefSeq and is a predicted model, not a curated record. NCBI's taxonomy places the organism in Eukaryota, Metazoa, Arthropoda, Malacostraca, Decapoda, Nephropidae. The transcript is spliced from 3 exons.
GUGAGAAUUACACUAAGCUGAGGAAUAUUGUAUGUGUGUCUGGAUGUUCGUCUGUCGUGUAAACCAGGUGAGUUUUGGACUGUGGAGAGGUUACAGUCGGCCGGUACAGGUACAGUAAGGUACAGACGUAUUGUACAGGUAAGUUGAGAUGUUUAAUUACAGGUACAGUACGUUACAGGUGUGUUAAUUUAGGUAUUAUUACAGGUACAGUAGGUUACAGGUGUGUUAAUUUAGGUAUUAUUACAGGUACAGUAGGUUACAGGUGUAUUAAUGUAGGUAUUAUUACAGGUACGGUAGGUUACAGGUAUUUAAAGUACAGGUUAAUGAUUCUACAGUUAUUUAGGUUAUUUUAGCUACAGGUAAUACAGUUUUUAUUAUGGAUUUCACGUUAGAAUUACAGGAAAGUGAAAUAUUUUAGUUAUGGUUGAAAUGUAAACAAAGUAGCCGGUCGUUGAUUGGCUGACGUGUCCACCAAUGAAGGUCACUCACGCUCGCCUUCCAUUCACAAGAUUGGGUGAAUGGCUGGUGCCUCUCUCAUCCCCGUGAAGAUGUCUUGGGUAGGUGUUGUAUCAAAUAUCUUGGUGUAGUUUAGGAUGCUUGGACUUGUUUUGGUGUCUUGAAUCUGUCUUCUAAGAUAUCUACGGAGGAUUAGAGAGAGUUUUUAGUGGUUAAGGAUGAUUAUAAUUACGAUUUAAUAGUGUCUUUGAAGAUGUCUAUACAUGAUUUGAUAGUGUCUUUGAAGAUGUCUAUACAUGAUUUGAUAGUGUCUUUGAAGAUGUCUAUAUUUAAAUUCGAAUGUGUUAAUUGCUUCUCAGUAUUGCAAAUUCGUUCUCAGGUUAUUUUAAAUGACGAAUAACAAGCUUUUAUAGUAUUUAGUGCUUGUUGGAAGAGAGCAUCAAUAUAUGAGUGAAUAUCUGUCAUUUAAUUGGUCUAGCGAGCGUCACAACAUAAGGCUUAGUUACCCCGGGGAAGAGUCAUUACAGAAAACGGGUGGAGAGAAAACGGCUAAAUUAUAUCUCUUGUUUGUUCUCAAGGUCAAAUAAAGGUUCUGGAGGAUAGCUGGGGGGUAGGAUUAUAGCUGAAGAUAGCUUACAUCUUGCACAGUUUAGUUUAAGCCGUCAGCAAGGUGAUAUAAACAGUAUCUGGAGGGAGGAGGAGGAGGUGUUUACAUGGUGCAGUGUUGCCAGAUGUCUUAUGCUCCCAAGGUCAUAAAUUUUCCAUACAAGAUAUUUAUUUUAUAUAUUUUUCUUCUAUUUUGUGAUGUGAGAACGUAUCUAACUGACUUAUUUAAGCUACCACACAAAGAUAGAUUCUCAAAGGUUCCUACAUUAAAGAGAAAGAGAGAGAAAGAGAGAUGUCAUAAGAUAAUUCCCAAUAAAGUCAUCAAUUACUCGUGGAAGUCAUUGUAAUAGAUAUCUAAACCUAACCUAAGACAUCUCGGCAUAUAUAGAGAUGUAGCCGGGGCAGUAAACCGUACCCACCCCUAGUCCAAGGUGGUCAGGGCUGCGUCUACCAUCAGUUCAUGGACUUCUAUCUCUCUGGAUGGUGUCUCGGGGCCGUCUCUCGUCUCUCACUAGUGAUUCUAUGUCUCUCAGGUCUCUUAUUAAGGGAGAUAUAAUGACUUGAGAGAUAAAUAGUGAGAGAUUAUGGCCUUGUGUUUAUAAUAGGCAUAGUGGCUGGGAAAUAUUGCCAAUUAUAAUAUCUCCAGUGAUUGGUGAUUGGUGUUAAUUAUCACCAUUGCAACAGUGAUUUUCUCGGUGAUUGCAAGAUGAUUAGUAGUGACCUUGGUGAUUAAAUGUGACCUUAGUGGGUUUGGUGUGUCUAAUGAGUCGUAGAUCGUAUAUGGUAAUUUAUUAUAAUGUUGUGGGGAGGAAUUUUCAACUAAUUGUAUGUUUAAUCGUAAAAAAUAACACCAAUUUAUUCCUAAAAAAUAAAUAAAGCAAAAAAAAAAAAGUUCUGAUAUUUUUGACGUGAGAAAAAAUCAUUAUAAUUUAUGAUAUAAUUAUACAAGAAACAUCUAAGUGUAUUACCUAUUUCCUCUAUUAUAACUAUCACCCAUUGACCCAUUAACAGCCCAUUAGGUAGUUAAAACAGGUUAAAUAUAUGAGGAUGAACGAGGGAGUUAUAGUAGGUCUUUAUAAGGGAAUAUUCUCACAAGAUGGAACAACAGAAUGCAACCUUAUUUAACACCAUAAACUAACAUUAUUAAUUAACUUCCUGGUGUUGGGGGGUAGUUUAACACGUGUAAUUUAACAUGAGGGAGAUAUUAGUAGGGUUAGGUUAGGUUUAGAUAGUUUAAAUAGUGUUUUAGAUCACAUGUGGUUUAGUGAGUCGGGGGAUAUUAUUGGAACCGCCGUGACCGUGUCCAUAACUCACCUACUGAUUUGGAGUAAAGUUAUUGCUUAUAAAAGAUGAAAAACAAUAUAAUUUUAAGCAUUUAUAUAUGAAUAAAUUAUUUUUGAUAUAUUUAAGUAACUUGUAUUUACUUAUAGUCGAUGUAAAAUGAGGAAAUAAUGUUUUGAUGAAAGCAUUUACGGUUUUAUGGCAUACGUUAAUAUUUAGUUUAUACUGAUUAAAUUAUUCGCCAGAUUAUAAUCCAAACCUCAAUUAAUCCGUCAAUAAUUAACCCUAAUUAAAUAAUCCACUAUAUAUUAAUCCCAAUCUAUAAAUAAUCCAUCAAAUCCUAAUCGAGUAUAUUAAAAUCCAGAUUAAAUCCUAAAAUACCGUUCGCGUAACACUCAUUAAUCCGACUUGGUAAACAAACUGGUCAGCGGAGAGAAUUAAGAAUCCGGAUUCAUGGUGGGCGUUUUUGAAAGUAUUUAAUAUGUCCUUCAGAUUUAAUAGGUCAGUGAUUUUUUAUUUUUAUUGGUGGUUAAUGUCGGCGUAGUGAUAUCUGAGUUGAGAGAGAGAGAGAGAGAGUGAGAGAGAGAGAGGUAGAGUGAGAGAGAGCGAUAUAUAAGUAAUAAUUAAUCCCUAAUGAGUGGCCUACAUAGUAUAAAUAUCCCCUAUGAGUGGCCCAUGUAUAAAAAUCCUCUAUGAGUGGCCCAUACAUAAGGUAAAAAUCCUCUAUGAGUGGCCCAAACAUUGUAAAAAUCCCCUCAGAGUGGCCCAUACAUAAGGUAAAAAUCCUCUAUGAGUGGCCCAAACAUUGUAAAAAUCCUUUAUGAGUGGCCCAUACAUAAGGUAAAAAUCCUCUAUGAGUGGCCCAAACAUUGUAAAAAUCCUUUAUGAGUGGCCCAAACAUUGUAAAAAUCCCCAAUGAGUGGCCCAUACAUAAGGUAAAAAUCCUCUAUGAGUGGCCCAAACAUUGUAAAAAUCCUCUUUGAGUGGCCCAAACAUUGUAAAAAUCCCCUCUGAGUGGCCUAUAUAGCCCUUUAAUCCCGUAGUCUAACGUAAACUAACCAUCUUACAAGAGGUAUUUAAACCGAGAAUAAUUUCGCUUUUAUUCCACCUAAAAUGCGAAAAAUAUCACCUACGCAUUUUAACAACUUUUCCUCUACGUGAAAUAGUUAAUGUGGAUGUUUUUUUUAAUAUGUAUUCAGUUUAAAAUCGUAAUUAAUGUGUGUUUCGUAAAUUUCAAGUCAUUUAUCCAUUAAUUUGUAAGUUAUGGUUCUUGAAUUA